AUAGUACCGUGAGGGAAUGGUGAAAAGUACCCCGGGAGGGGAGUGAAAUAGUACCUGAAACCGGGCGCUUACAAGCCGUCAGAGCCUUCCGCACCUUGUGUGUGGGGGUGGUGGCGUGCCUUUUGAAGAAUGAGCCUGCGAGUCAGUGGCGUGUCGCGAGGUUAACCCGUGUGGGGUAGCCGUAGCGAGAGCGAGUCCGAAUAGGGCGAUUGUAGUGGCGCGUUCUGGACCCGAAGCGGGGUGAUCUACCCAUGGCCAGGUUGAAGCACGUGUAAGAGCGUGUGGAGGACCGAACCCACCUAGGUUGAAAACUGGGGGGAUGAGCUGUGGGUAGGGGUGAAAGGCCAAUCAAACUCCGUGAUAGCUGGUUCUCCCCGAAAUGCAUUUAGGUGCAGCGUCGCGUGUUGCCCGGCGGAGGUAGAGCUACUGGGUGGCUGAUGGGCCCCACAGGGUUACUGACGUCAACCAAACUCCGAAUGCCGUCGGGUUGUAGCGUGGCAGUGAGACCGCGGGGGAUAAGCUCCGUGGUCGAGAGGGAAACAGCCCAGAUCGCCGGCUAAGGCCCCUAAGCGUGUGCUAAGUGGGAAAGGAUGUGCGGUCGCGCAGACAACCAGGAGGUUGGCUUAGAAGCAGCCAUCCUUGAAAGAGUGCGUAAUAGCUCACUGGUCAAGUGAUCGUGCGCCGACAAUGUAGCGGGGCUCAAGCACACCGCCGAAGCCGCGGACCCAUGACGUUGUUCCCUUCAUCGUCCGGCUUGCCCGGGUGGUGGCAGGGGUUGUGGGUGGUAGGGGAGCGUCCUGCACCGGGGGAAGCCUGUGGGUGACUGCUGGUGGACGGUGCGGGAGUGAGAAUGCAGGCAUGAGUAGCGAUACUAGGGUGAGAAGCCCUAGCGCCGAAUGACCAAGGGUUCCAGGGCCAGGCUAGUCCGCCCUGGGUGAGUCGGGACCUAAGGCGAGGCCGACAGGCGUAGUCGAUGGAUGACGGGUUGAUAUUCCCGUACCGGCGAAGCACCGCCCAUGCUGACGCGCGGGUGCUAACCCACGCCCAACCACCAUAUAGGCCGCAUGUGUCAGGUUCGCCUGACGGUGUGGUUGUGGUGGUGGGGUCUGGGGAUCCUCCGUGCAGGUAGGCAAGCGUGUUAACAGGGGUGACGCACAGUGGUAGCCCGGCGGACCUGAUGGCUUGGUCCGUUCAAGCGCGCAGCCCGUCUUCCAGGUAAAUCCGGGGGACUGUCUUUGAUGACGGGGGUGAGGCGUGAUGGUGACCUCACGUUGGUGGGGGAUAACAGGGUGAUCCUGGGGUGCCGAGAAAAGCCUCGACGCGAUGGUGCCAGCCGCCCGUACCCUAAACCGACACAGGUGGUCGGGCAGAGUAUGCCUAGGCGCACGAGUGAAUCAUGGUUAAGGAACUCGGCAAAAUGCCCCCGUAACUUCGGGAGAAGGGGGGCCUGAUCCCUGAAGCCCCGUUUGCGGGCUAGGGGGGAGGGUCGCAGAGGCCAGGGGGAAGCGACUGUUUACUAAAAACACAGGUCCGUGCGAAGCCGUAAGGCGAUGUAUACGGACUGACGCCUGCCCGGUGCUGGAAGGUUAAGAGGAACCAUCAACCCCCUCGGGGGUGAAGUGGUGAAUUUAAGCCCCAGUAAACGGCGGUGGUAACUAUAACCAUCCUAAGGUAGCGAAAUUCCUUGUCGGGUAAGUUCCGACCUGCACGAAUGGCGUAACGACUUCCCCGCUGUCUCAACCAUGAGCUCGGCGAAAUUGCAGUACGAGUAAAGAUGCUCGUUUCGCGCAGAAGGACGGAAAGACCCCGGGACCUUUACUAUAGCUUGGUAUUGG
This 1835-nucleotide ribosomal RNA is filed under the name human metagenome. RNAcentral describes it as "bacterial LSU rRNA". It matches the Rfam family "Bacterial large subunit ribosomal RNA", at positions 495 to 2120 of the family's 2925-position model. The record is from RNAcentral.